UGUGACCUCAAAUCAGGUAGGACUACCCGCUGAACUUAAGCAUAUCAAUAAGCGGAGGAAAAGAAACUAACAAGGAUUCCCCUAGUAACUGCGAGUGAAGCGGGAAAAGCUCAAAUUUAAAAUCUGGCAGUCUUUGGCUGUCCGAGUUGUAAUCUAGAGAAGUGCUAUCCGCGCUGGACCGUGUACAAGUCUCCUGGAAUGGAGCCUCAUAGAGGGUGAGAAUCCCGUCUUUGACAUGGACUACCAGGGCUUUUGUGAUGUGCUCUCAAAGAGUCGAGUUGUUUGGGAAUGCAGCUCAAAAUGGGUGGUAAAUUCCAUCUAAAGCUAAAUAUUGGCGAGAGACCGAUAGCGAACAAGUACCGUGAGGGAAAGAUGAAAAGAACUUUGGAAAGAGAGUUAAACAGUACGUGAAAUUGCUGAAAGGGAAACGCUUGAAGUCAGUCGCGUUGUCCAGGGAUCAACCUUGCUUUUGCUUGGUGCACUUUCUGGUUGACGGGUCAGCAUCAAUUUUGACUGUUGGAAAAAGAUCAAGGGAAUGUGGCAUCUUUGGAUGUGUUAUAGCCCUUGGUUGUAUACAAUGGUUGGGAUUGAGGAACUCAGCACGCCGCAAGGCCGGG
Molecule: ribosomal RNA, 617 nt
Filed under: Cortinarius parkeri
Lineage: Eukaryota; Fungi; Basidiomycota; Agaricomycetes; Agaricales; Cortinariaceae
Description: eukaryotic LSU rRNA
Rfam family: Eukaryotic large subunit ribosomal RNA
Source: RNAcentral